This 73-nucleotide transfer RNA is filed under the name Methanobrevibacter sp. RNAcentral's name for it is "tRNA-Phe". It matches the Rfam family "tRNA". Rfam says of the family: Transfer RNA (tRNA) molecules are approximately 80 nucleotides in length. Their secondary structure includes four short double-helical elements and three loops (D, anti-codon, and T loops). Further hydrogen bonds mediate the characteristic L-shaped molecular structure. tRNAs have two regions of fundamental functional importance: the anti-codon, which is responsible for specific mRNA codon recognition, and the 3' end, to which the tRNAs corresponding amino acid is attached (by aminoacyl-tRNA synthetases). tRNAs cope with the degeneracy of the genetic code in two manners: having more than one tRNA (with a specific anti-codon) for a particular amino acid; and 'wobble' base-pairing, i.e. permitting non-standard base-pairing at the 3rd anti-codon position. Lineage: Archaea; Methanobacteriati; Methanobacteriota; Methanobacteria; Methanobacteriales; Methanobacteriaceae. The record is from RNAcentral.
GGGACUCUGGCAGAGUUGGUCAAUGCACUGGACUGAAAAUCCGGCUAUCUCGGUUCGAUUCCGAGGGGUCCCA